This 45-nucleotide ribosomal RNA is filed under the name Phaseolus lunatus (lima bean). RNAcentral describes it as "partial large subunit ribosomal RNA". Lineage: Eukaryota; Viridiplantae; Streptophyta; Magnoliopsida; Fabales; Fabaceae. The record is from RNAcentral.
GAGACCUCACGUNANGCGGGGCUACCCGCUGAGUUUAAGCAUAUC